UAGUGGGGAAUCUUGCACAAUGGAGGAAACUCUGAUGCAGCGACGCCGCGUGAGCGAAGAAGCCUUUCGGGGUGUAAAGCUCUUACGCCAGGGACGAUAAUGACGGUACCUGGAGAAGCAGCUGCGGCUAACUACGUGCCAGCAGCCGCGGUAAUACGUAGGCAGCAAGCGUUGUUCGGAAUUACUGGGCGUAAAGGGUGCGUAGGCGGCGCUCUAAGUUUGGUGUGAAAUCUCCCGGCUUAACUGGGAGGGUGCACUGAAAACUGGGGCGCUCGAGUAUGGGAGAGGAAAGCGGAAUUCCUGGUGUAGCGGUGAAAUGCGUAGAGAUCAGGAGGAACACCUGCGGUGCAGACGGCUUUCUGGACCAUCACUGACGCUGAGGCACGAAAGCGUGGGUAGCAAACG
This 405-nucleotide ribosomal RNA is filed under the name uncultured bacterium. RNAcentral describes it as "bacterial SSU rRNA". It matches the Rfam family "Bacterial small subunit ribosomal RNA", at positions 352 to 774 of the family's 1533-position model. The record is from RNAcentral.